Non-coding RNA from Pelobates cultripes (western spadefoot toad), 273 nucleotides. NCBI's taxonomy places the organism in Eukaryota, Metazoa, Chordata, Amphibia, Anura, Pelobatidae. The record is from the annotation of a GenBank genome assembly.
UAACUAUUGAGCAUCAUAUAUGUGGGACAUAGACAGACUAGAUUAAAAAUAAAGGAGGCUUAGUUAGCUAGACCAGGUGAGUGCAGGUGAGAUUGUACCGUAUCAGGGUAAAUACAACUUGCCAGCGAGGUAUAACCAUUGAGGGUAGAGAUGGAAAACCCAUUAGACUUAUAUCUCGAUAAAAAAGAAACAAGUAAUAUGUGAACACCCCAAGACACCCACGACAGGUGAGUGAGUAGUAAUGCCCCUAGUAGAGUUGAAAGGCAUGGUUAA